UGCGGUAUGGUGGAAUGGUAGACACGUUGGUUUUAGGUACCAGUGAAUUUUUUUCGUGCGAGUUCAAGUCUUGUUGCCGCAA
RNAcentral lists this transfer RNA (82 nucleotides) under Clydonella sawyeri. Its description in RNAcentral is "tRNA-Leu". It matches the Rfam family "tRNA". Rfam says of the family: Transfer RNA (tRNA) molecules are approximately 80 nucleotides in length. Their secondary structure includes four short double-helical elements and three loops (D, anti-codon, and T loops). Lineage: Eukaryota; Discosea; Flabellinia; Vannellidae. The record is from RNAcentral.